Molecule: long non-coding RNA, 359 nt
Filed under: Sarcophilus harrisii (Tasmanian devil)
Lineage: Eukaryota; Metazoa; Chordata; Mammalia; Dasyuromorphia; Dasyuridae
Description: lncRNA (ENSSHAG00000025073.1)
Source: RNAcentral
AUGAUUGGAGUCUCAGCCUUUGAAUAACAAAGAUUUCUCUUCCUCGAUUUCUUUCCCAUAAACCACAGAAACAGGCCGACAGCCAAAGGACAAGCAGUUUCGGUGGUUCUUCUGGACACAGGGCUUCAUGACAUCAUUUUGCUUUGUUUUUUUAUGUUUUGAGGAAGACCUACCAAGAGAACAAAGUUAGGUGGUUCUGACAAUUCGGCUAAAUUCCAGCAGCAGCAGCCCAAUGGCAGAACGACCUUGAAGAAUAUCCAAGAAGUGAAGGUUAUGUUGCUAUCUUGGAGAAGGGGAAGGAGCAAAAUUUUAGCCACAGCCAACAGGAGACCUCAAGUUAAAAACAACAGCAGCAACAA